UGAGGGAAUAUUUGGGGUCAAUGGGCGCAAGCCUGAACCAGCCAAGUAGCGUGAAGGAUGACUGCCCUAUGGGUUGUAAACUUCUUUUAUGCGGGAAUAACCUCGACCAUGUAUGGUCGUUUGCAUGUACCGCAAGAAAAAGCAUCGGCUAAUUCCGUGCCAGCAGCCGCGGUAAUACGGAAGAUGCGAGCGUUAUCCGGAUUUAUUGGGUUUAAAGGGAGCGUAGGCGGACUAUCAAGUCAGUUGUGAAAGUCAUCGGCUCAACCGCUGAAUUGCAGUUGAAACUGGUAGUCUUGAGUGCACAUGAGGAUGGUGGAAUUCGUAGUGUAGCGGUGAAAUGCUUAGGU
Molecule: ribosomal RNA, 347 nt
Filed under: uncultured Bacteroides sp.
Lineage: Bacteria; Pseudomonadati; Bacteroidota; Bacteroidia; Bacteroidales; Bacteroidaceae
Description: bacterial SSU rRNA
Rfam family: Bacterial small subunit ribosomal RNA
Source: RNAcentral